This 1326-nucleotide ribosomal RNA is filed under the name metagenome. Its description in RNAcentral is "bacterial LSU rRNA". It matches the Rfam family "Bacterial large subunit ribosomal RNA", at positions 1556 to 2925 of the family's 2925-position model. The record is from RNAcentral.
UUGGGGGCCGGGGAAGGAAGCCCUUCGGGGUGACCGAACUAAGGUUGCGAGGGGCCUAGAAAAGUCCCGUAGCAUUAAUUAUAUAUCUGACCGUACUGUAAACCGACACAGGUAGAUGAGUCGAGGAGACUCAGGCGUUCGAGAGAACUCUCGUUAAGGAACUAGGCAAAUGAGCCCCGUACGUUAGCAAUAAGGGGCGCCCCGCAAGGGGUCGCAGCGAAGCAUCCAUGGCGACUGUUUACCAAAAACACAGGUCUCUGCUAAGGCGAAAGCCGAAGUAUAGGGGCUGACACCUGCCCAAUGCUCGUAGGUUAACAGGAGAUGUUAGGGAAACCGAAGCAUUGAAUCGAAGCCCGAGUGAAUGGCGGCCGUAACUCUAACGGUCCUAAGGUAGCGAAAUUCCUUGUCGGCUAAAUACCGACCCGCAUGAAAGGUGUAACGACUAUGGAACUGUCUCAACGAGAAGCUCGAUGAAACUGUAGUGCCCGUGAAGAUGCGGGCUAUGCGCAGUAGGACGGAAAGACCCCGUGGAGCUUUACUACACCUUGACAUCGUGAAUUGGGUGUAAAUGCAGAGCGUAGGUGGGAGCUUCGGCACCAAUGGAACACCACCCUUUUGCAUCUGGUUCACUAACCUGACCCGUAAUCCGGGUUGGAGACAUUGUCAGGCGGGUAGUUUGACUGGGGCGGUCGCCUCCGAAAAGGUAACGGAGGCGCCUAAAGAUCCACUCAGGCUGGUUGGAAAUCAGCCGUUGAGCGUAUUGGUAUAUAGUGGGUUUGACUGUGAGACAGACAAGUCGAGCAGGGACGAAAGUCGAGCAAAGUGACCCUCUAAUUGUGCGUGGGCACGUUAGGGUUCAACGGAUAUAAGCUACCCCGGGGAUAACAGGCUGAUCUUGCCCGAGCGCUCACAGCGACGGCAUGGUUUGGCACCUCGAUGUCGGCUCGUCGCAUCCUGGGGCUGUACAAGGUCCCAAGGGUUCCGGAGUUCACGGAUUAAAGCGGCACGCGAGCUGGGUUCAGAACGGCGUGAGCCAGUUCGGUCCCUAUCCACUGCGCACGUAAGAAAUUUGAGAGGAGUCGCCCUUAGUACGAGAGGACCGGGGUGAACAGACCUCUGGUGUACCAGUUGUUCCGCCAGGAGCAUACGCUGGGUAGCCACGUCUGGACGGGAUAAGCGCUGAAAGCAUCUAAGCGCCAAGCCCACCUCAAGAUUAGAUUUCUCAUAUUAGUAAGGACACUUGAAGACUACGAGUUUGAUAGGUCAGAGCUGUGAGUCCAGUAAUGGAUUAAGGUGACUGAUACUAAUUGUCCGAGGGCUUAAUAA